RNAcentral lists this ribosomal RNA (460 nucleotides) under uncultured bacterium. RNAcentral's name for it is "partial 16S ribosomal RNA". It matches the Rfam family "Bacterial small subunit ribosomal RNA", at positions 338 to 795 of the family's 1533-position model. The record is from RNAcentral.
CCUACGGGAGGCAGCAGUGAGGAAUAUUGGUCAAUGGGCGCGAGCCUGAACCAGCCAAGUAGCGUGAAGGAUGACUGCCCUACGGGUUGUAAACUUCUUUUAUAAAGGAAUAAAGUGAGGCACGUGUGCCUUUUUGUAUGUACUUUAUGAAUAAGGCACGGCUAACUCCGUGCCAGCAGCCGCGGUAAUACGGAGGAUCCGAGCGUUAUCCGGAUUUAUUGGGUUUAAAGGGAGCGUAGAUGGGUUGGUAAGUCAGUUGUGAAAGUUUGCGGCGCAACCGUAAAAUUGCAAUUGAUACUGGCUGUCUUGAGUACAGUGGAGGUAGGCGGAAUGCGUGGUGUAGCGGUGAAAUGCUUAGAUAUCACGAAGAACUCCGAUUGCGAAGGCAGCUUACUAAACUGCCACUGACAUUGAUGCUCGAAAGUGUGGGUAUCAAACAGGAUUAGAUACCCCUGUAGUC